ACGGGAGGCAGCAGUGGGGAAUAUUGCACAAUGGGCGAAAGCCUGAUGUAGCGACGCCGCGUGAGCGAAGAAGUAUUUCGGUAUGUAAAGCUCUAUCAGCAGGGAAGAUAAUGACGGUACCUGACUAAGAAGCACCGGCUAAAUACGUGCCAGCAGCCGCGGUAAUACGUAGGGGGCAAGCGUUAUCCGGAUUUACUGGGUGUAAAGGGAGCGUAGACGGUCUGGCAAGUCUGAUGUGAAAGGCAGGGGCUCAACUCCUGGACUGCAUUGGAAACUGUCCGUCUUGAGUGUCGGAGAGGUAAGCGGAAUUCCUAGUGUAGCGGUGAAAUGCGUAGAUAUUAGGAGGAACACCAGUGGCGAAGGCGGCUUACUGGACGAUAACUGACGUUGAGGCUCGAAAGCGUGGGGAGCAAACAGGAUUAGAUACCCUGGUA
Molecule: ribosomal RNA, 434 nt
Filed under: uncultured Lachnospiraceae bacterium
Lineage: Bacteria; Bacillati; Bacillota; Clostridia; Lachnospirales; Lachnospiraceae
Description: partial 16S ribosomal RNA
Rfam family: Bacterial small subunit ribosomal RNA
Source: RNAcentral